This 305-nucleotide ribosomal RNA is filed under the name uncultured bacterium. RNAcentral describes it as "bacterial SSU rRNA". It matches the Rfam family "Bacterial small subunit ribosomal RNA", at positions 337 to 640 of the family's 1533-position model. The record is from RNAcentral.
ACCUACGGGGCGCAGCAGUGAGGAAUAUUGGUCAAUGGGCGCGAGCCUGAACCAGCCAAGUCGCGUGAGGGAAGACGGCCCUAUGGAUUGUAAACCUCUUUUGUCGGGGAGCGAAAGACGCCACGCGUGGCGUUCCGAGAGUACCCGAAGAAAAAGCAUCGGCUAACUCCGUGCCAGCAGCCGCGGUAAUACGGAGGAUGCGAGCGUUAUCCGGAUUUAUUGGGUUUAAAGGGUGCGCAGGCGGAAGAUCAAGUCAGCGGUAAAAUUGAGAGGCUCAACCUCUUCGAGCCGUUGAAACUGGUUUU